This is a long non-coding RNA of Megalobrama amblycephala (Wuchang bream), 242 nucleotides long. RefSeq lists it as uncharacterized. The transcript has 2 exons. NCBI's taxonomy places the organism in Eukaryota, Metazoa, Chordata, Actinopteri, Cypriniformes, Xenocyprididae. The record is from RefSeq and is a predicted model, not a curated record.
UAAAAUGUAAGUACAUAGUAGUUAAGGCCACUUAAUAUAAAGUGGGUCCGAUUCACCAAACAUCUGGCUGAUUACUGGCAAUUUGCAUUAAAGACAGUGGACAAGUGAAGAGAGAGGAGGGGACGGUAUCAGAAAGGACCUUGAGCUGCGACUGUCUUGGAUCACCCAAAGCACAACUACACUACAUGUCCAAGCACUGAACAAGGCUUUUCUCCUUUACAUAUUAAAUGUAUUUAAUUUAA